This 253-nucleotide ribosomal RNA is filed under the name uncultured bacterium. RNAcentral's name for it is "partial 16S ribosomal RNA". It matches the Rfam family "Bacterial small subunit ribosomal RNA", at positions 524 to 776 of the family's 1533-position model. The record is from RNAcentral.
UACAGAGGGUGCGAGCGUUAAUCGGAAUUACUGGGCGUAAAGCGUGCGCAGGCGGUUCGUUAAGUUCGUUGUGAAAGCCCCGGGCUCAACCUGGGAACUGCAAUGGAAACUGGCGGGCUUGAAUGCGGCAGAGGGGGGUGGAAUUCCGCGUGUAGCAGUGAAAUGCGUAGAGAUGCGGAGGAACACCGGUGGCGAAGGCGGAUCUCUGGGCCUUACCUGACGCUGAGGCGCGAAAGCUAGGGGAGCGAACAGG